This 524-nucleotide ribosomal RNA is filed under the name Potamocarcinus magnus. RNAcentral's name for it is "partial 16S ribosomal RNA". It matches the Rfam family "Archaeal large subunit ribosomal RNA", at positions 1949 to 2698 of the family's 2987-position model. Lineage: Eukaryota; Metazoa; Arthropoda; Malacostraca; Decapoda; Pseudothelphusidae. The record is from RNAcentral.
GACCUGCCCACUGAUAAUAUAAUUUAAUGGCCGCGGUAUUAAUGACCGUGCAAAGGUAGCAUAAUCAUUAGUCUUUUAAUUGAAGGCUUGUAUGAAUGGUUGGACAAAAGGAAAACUGUCUUCUUWAAUAUAAAUUGAAUUUAACUUUUAAGUGAAAAGGCUUAAAUAUUUCAAAGGGACAAUAAAACCCUAUAAAGCUUUAUAUAAAAUGAAUUUUAAAUUGAAAUUUUAUUAAAAAAUUAAAAUUUAUGUUUAUAUUGUGUUGGGGUAACAAAAGUAUAAUUGUUAAAAACUGUUUAUUUUAUAUACGGGUAUAUUUGUAUUAUUAAGUGACCCUUAUUUAAAGAUUUUAAAAUUAAUUUACUUUAGGGAUAACAGCGUAUUUUUUUUAGAGAGUUCCUAUCAAAAAAAGAUUUUGCAACCUCGAUGUUAAAUUAAAAUUUCUAUAUAGGGGAGCUAUUAUAUAAGGAGGUCUGUUCAACCUUUAAUUUUUUACAUGAUUUGAUUUCAAACCGGUGUGACCC